CAAUGGAGGCAACUCUGACCCAGCCAUGCCGCGUGCAGGAAUAAGGUCUAUGGAUUGUAAACUGCUUUUAUACAGGAAGAAACCCUCCGACGUGUCGGGGCUUGACGGUACUGUAUGAAUAAGCACCGGCUAACUCCGUGCCAGCAGCCGCGGUAAUACGGAGGGNGCAAGCGUUAUCCGGAAUCAUUGGGUUUAAAGGGUCCGCAGGCGGUCAAUUAAGUCAGAGGUGAAAUACCGUCGCUUAACGACGGAACUGCCUUUGAUACUGGUUGACUUGAGUCAUAUGGAAGUAGAUAGAAUGUGUAGUGUAGCGGUGAAAUGUUUANAUAUUACACAGAAUACCGAUUGCNAAGGCAGUUUACUACGUAUGUACUGACGCUCAUGGACGAAAGCGUGGGGAGCGAACAGGAUUAGAUACCCUGNUAGUCCACGCCGUAUACGAUGGAUACUAGUUGUUNGNAGCAAUCUCAGUGACUAAGCGAAAGUGAUAAGUAUCC
Molecule: ribosomal RNA, 497 nt
Filed under: uncultured Bacteroidota bacterium
Lineage: Bacteria; Pseudomonadati; Bacteroidota
Description: bacterial SSU rRNA
Rfam family: Bacterial small subunit ribosomal RNA
Source: RNAcentral